Molecule: long non-coding RNA, 7618 nt
Filed under: Lactuca sativa (garden lettuce)
Lineage: Eukaryota; Viridiplantae; Streptophyta; Magnoliopsida; Asterales; Asteraceae
Description: long non-coding RNA (LSAT_LNC006358)
Source: RNAcentral
AUUCCUGUUUUCGUCAGCAUUUCCAACUCCACUUCUUGUUCUCACCAUUUUGAUCUACACCGAAUAAGGUGAAAUUAGAUCCUCAAUCAUGAUGGAUAUUCAAAUCAUCCUUAUCACUCCGAAACGUUUACAUGCUAGUUCUAAUAUCGUAGAUGUACGCUUAGAAUCCUACACACAUAAGGUUUCUAGAUCCGGUCGGCAACAGACCAUAGAUCCGAACAAAUAAUAUCAUAUAUGGCAACAUAUAACAUUUAGCACAUAAAGCAUUUUAGGCAACUUUCCUAAAAUAAACUAGUGCUCGUGUCUAAAUCACAACAGACACACAUCUCAAAACUUCACUUAGCAUUCUAAGUUUAAGUCUAGAAAUCCUACAAAUUCCUAGUUCGCUUAAACUAAUGCUCUGAUACCAACUGUGACAUCCCCAAAAUCUCGGCCAGAAAAGACCGAUUUUCAUUUAUGCUUUUAAAUAUUUUCAGAGUAAAUCCUUUUGAUUUGAAAGAGUUGCGGAAUUUGUUCCCAAAAACAAAACAUGAUAAAACAUUGUUUACCGAAGCAUUUCAUAAAAGAAAUGUAUUUUCAUUAUAAUCAAAACUCGGGGUGUCAUGUUCCGAUACAGACCAAUAAGCAUAAACGAAUACAUUACAAGUCAUAUAACAAAUAUAAACAUAUGCAGACUUGUAAACAAAACAACUUGAUGGUUCAUCCAUCUCAUGCCCUUCCGCCACUACCUGUAAUACAAUUUAAAACUGAGUGGGUCAGGCUUGGGAGCCUGGUGAGCAUAUAGGGUUUUCAACCCACAAUAAAUAUCAUAUUUAAUUUUCACCAACCAACAAUAACCCAAUUACCCAUUCCCGUUAUUCUCACUUUAAUGUCCCUAAAACAACUAACAUAAGGGACCUAGUCUAAGAAUAUUUCAUCGGGGCGACAACACAUGCUUCGGGGGUACCUCAGCAAUAUAAGUCAAAUAAGGCAACCAUGAGGGGGAUGGAGUACAGCGAAUGAACACCCAAGUUCAUUAACACCUACAGGUGGCGAACCUGCUAAUGUUUCCACAAGACUGUCUAGAAUAGCCAGUGGUCGUCAUCUAAACUCCGCUAGAUGACUCAAUCAAACAACAACGAGGCCUCUCAUCUGUUUAUUACACACCAACUGUCUACCCAUGUUCUACCCAACAUAUUAGUAGAUAAAAAUAUACAUUUGUAUACAUAGUUUAAAGAAAACCUGUAUAGCAUGCUUUAAUCAACACAUAUAUCACAUAACAGAUGAGGCACACACACACAUAACACAUAUCUCAUAAAGAAAUAAGCAGAUCUAUAAGAUAGAAGAGAGUGAAUACUCAUUCACACAUAACACAACCAAAUAUAUACACAUAGCACGUAUUUUUAUAUAAAAUACUUCGUAUUAUUGUAUUAGAAGAAAUAACUACACACUCACUUGAUCAGAAGAUGAUCGGACAGCACUACGGCUUAUAGAAGUAGUAAUCCACAGCAGAUCUGGAAGAUCUUCUCGAAAAUCGAACUUCUCGCGGGCAGAGCUUCGACUCGGGAACCGCACUUUUCGGGAUCUUCGGGAUCUCGGGACUUGCCUCGGGGCUAGAGUAUGAUACCGGGACUUCGGGGUAGCUUCGGGGGUUUUUGCACAGAGCUUCGACACGAAAACGAGAGGGAAUUGGCAAAAAUACCCGGAACCCUCGCAUCCUAUUUAUAGGAGGCUGGAGCCUCGGAGUACGCGGGGCGUACUGCGUUACGCGGGGCGUACUGCCCAAAACGUCAUUGCUUACGUAUCCGAAGUGCUCGAGUGCGAGUGUCGACAUCCCUCGGAGUACGCGGGGCGUACUCGAGUACGCGGGGCGUACCUCGGAUCAGAUCGGUGACUCCUUCGGAUAAUGCUUCCGAAUUUUGAUUUAAAUAUAAAUACAAAAUGAUUAAUAAACUUCGGAAAUUCAUAACUUCUUCAUACGAACUCCGUUUUCGACGUUCUUUAUAUCCACGCGAAGGUGAGACCACGCUCUACGACUUUCGUUUAGACUCCGUCGGCUAAUUUUGACUUUAUUUUUAUUAAUUAUUUUUAAUAGGCCGGGACAGAAACUUUCGUUAUAAAUUCAUAACUUCUUCGUUUGACGUCCGUUCUCGCCUAACUUUUUAUCGUUUCAAUACCAACAAUGAGAUCUUCGAUUCUCAUUUAGAUUGCUUCGGCUAACAACCGCUCGAUCUCAAAUCGAGUAAAACAGGCUGUAUAUCGCUAAGCCGGAACUUCGAUAAAUCAUAACUUCCUCAUACGAAGUCAGAUUUGGGCGUUCUAUAUAUAUUCGGAAACCUCGUUUCAACUACUACAACAUUAACCAAAUAUAUUAAGUUUAUUUUACACUUAAAUUUUGACGCUUAUUUUUAUUCUUAAUUAAUCAAACCACAUAAUUAAGCAAUUAAGCACAAAACACACAAUACUCAAAUAAUACAAUCUUAUUAUUUCAAAACGGGUUACAGAGGUUAACCUAGACUAUUACAUUGCUACAAAUGGCAAGCCCGAAACACAGGCGUUACAAUUCUCUCCACCUUAGAAUGAUUCCGUCCCCGGAAUCACACAUCAACAAACAAAUGCGGAUAGCGACUCAACAUGUCACUCUCCGUCUCCCAGGUGAGAUUCGGCCCAUUCGUGUGUUUCCAUCGGACAAGCACUAACCCAACCAUUUUGCGUCGCAACUUCUUAGUCUUUCGGUCAACAAUUGCCUCUGGUUCUUCAAUCAACCUUUUGUUCUCAUCAAUUCUCAAUUCAGAAAUUGGAAUUAUAUCGGGAACUUCUCCCGUGAACUUCCUCAAAUAACACACAUGAAAGGUGUUGUGAAUUCCAUUCAGUUCUUCGGGUAAUUCGAGCUUGUAAGCUUGAUUCCCAAUCCUCUGAAGGACUCUAAACGGUCCAAUAAACCUUGGACUCAACUUUCCCCUUUUACCAAAUCUUAUAAGUCCCUUCCACGGCGAGACUUUAAGCAAAACCGAAUCUCCAACCUCAAAAGUCAUCGGUCUUCGCUUCUUGUCAGCAUAGCUCUUUUGACGAUCUUGAGCUGCUAACAUUCUUUCCCUAAUUAUUUUCAACUUUUCAGCAGUUUGAUGAACCAACUCCGGUCCCAUAAACUGCUUUUCCCCAGCCUCAAGCCAACAAGACGGCGUACGACACUUCUGUCCAUACAAAGCUUGAUAAGGUGCCAUCUUAAUGCUCGAGUGAAAACUAUUAUUAUAGGAAAAUUCUACCAACGGUAAAUGUUCAUCCCAAUUACCUAGGAAUUCCAAGGUACAUGCUCUCAGCAUAUCUUCAAGUGUUUGUAUUGUUCUUUCACUCUGACCAUCAGUCUGCGGAUGGUAAGCUGUGCUUAAACAUAACUUGGUACCCAUUUCCUCUUGUAGACUUUUCCAAAACCUUGAGGUGAAACGGCUAUCACGAUCCGAUACAAUCGUUAACGGAACACCGUGAAGCCUCACAAUUUCCUUCACGUAAGAAUUCGCAAGCUUUUCCAUAGACCAUUUCUCCCUGGCCGCUAUGAAAUGCGCACUCUUAGUGAAUCGAUCAACGACCACCCAAAUCAUGUCGUGACCAUUCUUUGUUCUGGGCAGUUUAGUGACAAAAUCCAUAGCAAUGUCUUCCCACUUACCCAUAGGCACAGGCAAAGGUUCUAAACUCCCGUACGGUUUCUGAUGUUGUGUCUUGACUCUCGCACAAGUCACACACUCGGCCACAUACUUUGCAACAUCAAGCUUCAUCGUCGGCCACCAGUAGUAGGGUUUCAGGUCCCUAUACAUUUUAGUGCUACCCGGAUGAAUCGAGUACAUGGUCUUGUGAGCUUCUUCCAUCAGAAGAUCUCUAAUUCCUCCUGACUUAGGUACCCAAAUACGAUCUUGGAAUACCUUCAGUCCAUGACCGUUAGUACCAAACACCAACGUUUUACCCAAACGUUCCUCCUUUCGGUCAUUUUUCUCAGAAGCUUCCUCUUGAGCUUUCUUUAUACUUUCCACAAUGGUCGAGACAACUUCAAUUCUCAACGCUCUUGGCCUCUUCCUUUCAAGAUUGACCUUCCGACUGAGAGCAUCAGCAACAACAUUAGCUUUACCGGGGUGGUAAAGUAUCUCGCAGUCGUAGUCUUUAAGUAAUUCUAGCCAGCGUCGUUGCCUCAUAUUCAAUUCUUUCUGAUUAAAGAGGUAUUGGAGACUCUUAUGAUCAGUGAAAAGUUUGCACUUCGUGCCAUAGAGGUAAUGCCUCCAUAUUUUCAGAGCGAAAACUACCGCUGCCAACUCCAAAUCAUGAGUCGGGUAAUUCUUUUCAUGCUCUUUCAGCUGUCGAGACGCAUAUGCUAUCACCUUUUCUCUUUGGGUCAAAACACAACCCAAUCCAACACCAGACGCAUCGCUAUAAACAGCGAAGUCUUCAACUCCAUCGGGUAGAGAAAGUAUCGGUGCCUCGCAUAGCUUCUUCUUUAACUUCUCGAAUGCUUCUUUAUGCUUCUCACUCCAAGCAUAAGUAGCUCCUUUGUGGGUCAAAGCUGUUAAUGGAGUAGCAAUCGAAGAAAAGCCUUGGAUAAACCUUCGGUAAUAUCCGGCUAAUCCUAAAAAGCUUCGAAUCUCCGUGGGACUUUUCGGUUGUUCCCACUUCGUCACAGCUUCGAUCUUCGCUGGAUCAACCAUUAUCCCUUCUUGGUUGACCACGUGACCCAAGAAUUGGACUUCACGAAUCCAAAAAUCACAUUUGGAGAACUUCGCAUAAAGCUUCUCCUUCUUCAAAACUUCUAACACUUCUCGCAAGUGUCUGCCAUGCUCCUCCUGGCUUUUCGAGUAGAUCAGAAUGUCGUCUAUGAACACUAUCACGGAUUUAUCAAGGAAAGGAUUACAAACCCUAUUCAUCAAAUCCAUGAACGCUGCUGGAGCAUUGGUUAGUCCAAACGACAUAACCAAGAACUCGUAGUGUCCAUAUCUAGUUCUGAAUGCAGUCUUCUCGAUAUCUUGCUCUCUUACUUUCAGCUGAUGAUAUCCUGACCUAAGAUCGAUCUUCGAGAAAUAGCUCGAACCUUGCAAUUGAUCAAACAGGUCAUCAAUCCUCGGCAACGGAUAUCUAUUCUUUAUUGUUGCCUUGUUCAGCUCUCUGUAAUCGAUGCACAUUCUCAUACUUCCAUCUUUCUUCUUUACAAAUAACACCGGAGCUCCCCAGGGCGAUGAACUAGGUCUAAUGAAACCUUUGUCCAAUAACUCCUGAAGUUGCAUCAUUAGCUCCUUCAUCUCCGUCGGUGCUAAUCGAUAAGGUGCUUUUGCUAUUGGCGUGGUUCCUGGUAACAAGUCUAUUCUGAACUCCACUUGUCUAUCAGGUGGUAAUCCAGGAAGAUCCUCGGGAAAUACUUCCGGAUAAUCACACACCACUGGAAUGCUCUGCAUCACCUUCUUUUCUUUCUUAGCAUCAAUCACGAAUGCUAAAUAUGAUGUACAUCCCUUGGUCAAACACUUUCUGGCUUUCAUUAGAGAAAUGAUUCCAGAAUUCACUCUGCGUUUGUCCCCAUACACCAUAAACGAAUCUUUUCCAGGCGGGUUUACUUUAACUAUCUUCUUCUUGCACAAAAUUUCGGCAUCAUUGGCGCUAAGCCAAUCCAUUCCCAAGACGAUGUCGAAACCAUUUAGUUCGAUAGGCAAUAAUUCCUCGAGAAACUUAUUCCCAUUAAGGUCGAUCAAGACGUUUUUCAUACGAUGGCUAACAGGUACAAACUUGCCACUAGCUACUUCGACUAAUAAAGCAUUAUUUAGUCUAUCAACAGGCAAAGCUAGCUUUCUACCAAACUCAUGCGAAAUAAAGGAGUAGUUGGCUCCAGAAUCAAACAAUAUAUGAGCAGGUAAUUCGUUUACGAGAAAGGUACCUGAAGCGACAUCAGCUUCAUCUUUCGCAGCCUCAAGUGUCAUCUGGAAGGCUCUCGCCUUCGGCUUUGGUGGAAUGUUGGGCCUAGCUGCCUCCUUCUUCUUCGGACAGUCUUUCAAAAUAUGCCCCUCUUCAUUACAACCAAAACACAUCCUUUUGUUGUUCGGACAUUCAUUGGCAAAAUGUCCAACCUUUCCACACUUGUAGCAGGUCACAUCCUCGCUACAUUUCCCAAAGUGCUUUUUCUUACACUUAUCACACCACUUUGCUUCGCCUCCUUUUCCUCCAAACUUUUUCGAAUCAGAUUUCGAAAAUUUGCUCUUCUUACUGGAACCAGAUGUUCCUUCAAACUUCCUUUUCUCACCAACCUCAACCUUGACGGUGGUUCUCCCCUUGAUCAUGUUCUCCACAGACUUGGCAGCCCAGAUAGCUGCCUCUAGAGUAAGUGCCUGACGUACCGGCACCUCGUACUCCCAUGGAAGUCCCUUCGCAUACCGAUCCACCUUUGUCAGCUCGUCUGGAACGAUACGCAAGGCAAACUCCAUCUUAUCGGUGAAGUUAUUGGUGUAUUCAUCAACUGACAUGCUACCCUUCGUCAAUGUCAAAAACUUAUUCUCCAACUCCAACAGAUUUUGAGCCGAGCAGAACUUGCGCUUGAACUGCACCAAGAACUCUGCCCAUGACAAUUGCAGUGGCUCAUUAGGGCUUAAGGUCUUCCCUAGAGUGUUCCACCAACGAACGGCUCCACCUCGGAAUUGUCGCACGGCAUAGAUAGUCUGCAACUUACCUCUGCAGCCACAUGUCAUAAAGGCUAACUCCAUUUCGGAGAUCCAAUCCAUAACCCCAAUCGGAUCCUCCUUUCCAUUGAAGGUCGAUGGUUUGCAAGUCAAAAAGUCCUUGUACUUGCAUCCCAUUCCAUCAUUCCUUCCUUCAUGGUUAUCUUGCCUAACUAUCGGUGGGUUGGCUGGACCAACAGACCCACUGAAGUUUCCACCUUCCGAGUGCCCUUCAUUUAAUUCAGGCUCUUCCACACGAAUCGACAGUUCUUCACGAUUUUGUUGAAGCAACCGUCUAGUUUCAUCCAUCUGACGAUCCAACAUCGUCUGAAUCAUCAAUUGCACACCAGCCAUGGUUAUUGGCUCAGGUGCUGCUGCUACGACAGGUAUUGGCUCAAUCACUGGUGGUUGAUUCCUGUUUUCGUCAGCAUUUCCAACUCCACUUCUUGUUCUCACCAUUUUGAUCUACACCCCGAAUAAGGUGAAAUUAGAUCCUCAAUCAUGAUAGAUAUUCAAAUCAUCCUUAUCACUCCGAAACGUUUACAUGCUAGUUCUAAUAUCGUAGACGUACGCUUAGAAUCCUACACACAUAAGGUUUCUAGAUCCGGUCGGCAACAGACCAUAGAUCCGAACAAAUAAUAUCAUAUAUGGCAACAUAUAACAUUUAGCACAUAAAGCAUUUUAGGCAACUUUCCUAAAAUAAACUAGUGCUCGUGUCUAAAACACAACAGACACACAUCUCAAAACUUCACUUAGCAUUCUAAGUUUAAGUCUAGAAAUCCUACAAAUUCCUAGUUCGCUUAAACUAAUGCUCUGAUACCAACUGUGACAUCCCCAAAAUCUCGGCCAGAAAAGACCGAUUUUCAUUUAUGCUUUUAAAUAUUUUCAGAGUAAAUCCUUUUGAUUUGAAAGAGUUGCGGAAUUUGUUCCCAAAAACAAAACAUGAUAAAACAUUGUUU